AGCAUACCAAGUAUCACACACCUGGCACAAAGUCCCGCACACCCGACCCCGGCCGGUUGGUAGACAUUCAGGCGACAGGGGGUACCUUACCAGGGGACACCGCCAUACCACCACGUCACAGAUGAAGGCUGCGGAAGCAAGGUAGCCGAAACUUGUCAGAUACAUUCGUGAUGGCGUCAGUUUGCCGUGGUGCGUUCAGGGACACUUGGCAGUCCGACUUGUACGUCCCCACAUGUACUGAGUGCUGGAAUAAAAGAUGUUCUCAGGGUAAAUUGGUUUCAACAAUUCCUCACCAAAACGUCACCGUGGAGUUGUUGAGUCCGUCCUUGACCAUGGCUUCUGUUUUGUUUGAUCGGCCGUUUUACUGCCUUGUUGCAAGCACCGUUUGGAAACAAUUAAGGAAAUAUCACGCUUGGGUCGCAUUUGUAUGCGCGGAUCGUUCUUCCGAGAUGCAGCAGGAACUCCGCAUGCAAGGUGCAGG
Nerophis ophidion (straightnose pipefish) is the source of this 481-nucleotide long non-coding RNA. RefSeq lists it as uncharacterized. The record is from RefSeq and is a predicted model, not a curated record. The transcript is spliced from 4 exons. NCBI's taxonomy places the organism in Eukaryota, Metazoa, Chordata, Actinopteri, Syngnathiformes, Syngnathidae.